This 285-nucleotide long non-coding RNA is filed under the name Pelobates cultripes (western spadefoot toad). The record is from RNAcentral. Lineage: Eukaryota; Metazoa; Chordata; Amphibia; Anura; Pelobatidae.
UUGCAGCUCUGAAAUAUGGCCAAACUGGUGGCAAGUGGCAUCGUGGCAGCUGCACGCUUGACUUUUCUCAGUUCAUGGGCAGUUAUUUUGCGCCUUGGUUUUUCCACACGCUUCUUGCGACCCUGUUGACUAUUUUGAAUGAAACGCUUGAUUGUUCGAUGAUCACGCUUCAGAAGCUUUGCAAUUUUAUGAGUGCUGCAUCCCUCUGCAAGAUAUCUCACUAUUUUUGACUUUUCUGAGCCUGUCAAGUCCUUCUUUUGACCCAUUUUGCCAAAGGAAAGGAAG